UCCAGGGUGUAAACGCUGCAGACUUGGUGUCGGAGGUCCUACGAGGGCGUCCGGUGCCGGAGAGAAAUUGUUAAGUCUGCCGCUUGGGGAGUACGUCCGCAAGGAUGAAACUUAAAGGAAUUGGCGGGAGAGCACCGCAACGGGAGGAGCGUGCGGUUCAAUUGGAUUCAACGCCGGAAAACUCACCGGGGGCGACGGUUACAUGAAGGCCAAGCUGAUGACUUUGCCUGAUUU
This 234-nucleotide ribosomal RNA is filed under the name uncultured bacterium. RNAcentral describes it as "partial 16S ribosomal RNA". It matches the Rfam family "Archaeal small subunit ribosomal RNA", at positions 745 to 978 of the family's 1478-position model. The record is from RNAcentral.